Molecule: long non-coding RNA, 282 nt
Filed under: Columba livia (rock pigeon)
Lineage: Eukaryota; Metazoa; Chordata; Aves; Columbiformes; Columbidae
Description: partial uncharacterized LOC102090484
Source: RNAcentral
GGCUAUUCCUCACCAAAGACCUGAGGUGGCUCUGGAGUUCAUGAUGUCCUUCUGAAAUUAACGACAUUUGUCCCCUUUAGGUACUGGAUGGCUGUUAUAACGUCUCCCUGGAGUGUUCUCCUCUCCAGCCUGAACAAGCGCAACUGUCUUGACCUGUCUUCACAGGAGAGGUGCUCCAGCCCCUGAUCAUCGUUGUGGCCCUUCUAUGGAUCCUCUCCAACAGGUAAAAUGUUAACAUGAUAUUUGAAAAAGUCCCAGAACCAUUUGUUUCAUGCAAAACGU